CAACACAAAGGGGAGCCGAGGCUCCCCUUUAAUAUGUCGUGCAUGCUCUUUUUUUAUUAUUGAAGGGCGGUUUAUUGUUGUUUUUGGAACUCACCCUUUGCUGCGUUUUUUUGCGAUCCCCAUGCGGGAUCAAGAGCAAACGUAUUUUUUUGAGCGCUGAUCCACUUUUAUCACGGGCUAUCAAACCUGUGAUCCAACCUGUGCGGGUGCUACCUGAAGGUAGUU
This 225-nucleotide unclassified non-coding RNA is filed under the name Pseudomonas psychrophila. RNAcentral's name for it is "Pseudomonas sRNA P29". The record is from RNAcentral. Lineage: Bacteria; Pseudomonadati; Pseudomonadota; Gammaproteobacteria; Pseudomonadales; Pseudomonadaceae.